CCACAAACUUCCCACGGGCUCAUUAUUUUUAAACGGAAAUCCUGUUUGUGAGACGACUCAUCUUCCCAUCGUUCUUCUUCCAAAAGCCGUCUUCUCCAACUCUUCUUGCUCCAAAUCCAAGGAUCAAUUCUGAGGCAAUUCUCCCUCCUACUCUCCACCAAAAAUCGCCUCCUUCAAAAGGAUUUUCUGUGCUUUCUCGCUUUGCUUGGCGCGGUUUGAACGUGCCCUAGCACUUUACCGAACUUCCAAAAUCCACUUUCUUUCUCCACUAAAAUUCCUCUUUACUCUCUUGUGAUCCCUCCUCCUCUCAAUUCAAGUCUUCUUGUCUGCUACUUUAUUGGAUAUGGCUCCAAAGAUGAAACUUCCCCAAAGAAGGAAAUCAAUUCGUGAGCCUGAGGAAAUUGUCCGAAAGAAAAGGCAUGCUCAGUCUUUCAGUGUUUUCGAUCCAGUUUCAGUACCUGCUCAAGGUCUCUAUCAAUCCUCCAUAAGCCCCAGUGUAAAUCCUCUUUCUGAUAGAAAAGUAGAAACCGGAAAAAAUAUAGAUUUUUGGUUCUUUGAGAAAGAAGGCUUUACUUUUGCUANNN
Molecule: long non-coding RNA, 584 nt
Filed under: Elaeis guineensis (African oil palm)
Lineage: Eukaryota; Viridiplantae; Streptophyta; Magnoliopsida; Arecales; Arecaceae
Description: long non-coding RNA (EGUI_LNC008254)
Source: RNAcentral